RNAcentral lists this small RNA (30 nucleotides) under Bombyx mori (domestic silkworm). RNAcentral describes it as "ovarian small RNA-14451". Lineage: Eukaryota; Metazoa; Arthropoda; Insecta; Lepidoptera; Bombycidae. The record is from RNAcentral.
CGGACUGGGUGGGCCGCGACCGCGGAUGCA